This is a long non-coding RNA of Ictalurus punctatus (channel catfish), 8741 nucleotides long. RefSeq lists it as uncharacterized. The transcript has 4 exons. Lineage: Eukaryota; Metazoa; Chordata; Actinopteri; Siluriformes; Ictaluridae. The record is from RefSeq and is a predicted model, not a curated record.
UUCCGUCUGUACUGCAAGUUGUGAUGUGUAGUGGAUUGGCUCCUGUGAUGAUCACUAUUGCAACAGCUGCAUCUUCUUCAUCUUCUUCACCUUUUUGUUUUGCAGAACAAAUUCGCAUAUUGCCCUCAAUGAAGGACAGAUGUUGUGCAAUUAACCAAUCCACGCGAAUAGGCAAGUUUUCAUGCUUGAAAAGCCCGCGUUUGAUGUUUAUGAACUCUGCUUCAACAUUGGCUGAACUUGCGGUGAUGAUGGUGCUUCGGAAGUGAGGGAUCAUUACCCCUGUCCAGAGUGGUCUGUUUGUGUUUGGUCAAAUGGAUCCACUUCUUCCAAGUCCUCACCCUCUACAACUGGAAUGAUUACACACUCUUUUGCAAUUCGGGCUUUCAGGUAUUUCUUGUACCUUUCUGAUAUAAGGGGGGCUCCAGAGCUGUAAUUUCUCUCUGCUUUGCUGAGAGCCACAACAGUAAUAUGGCAUAGUAGCUCUCUUGCAUUGUCCAUGGAUUGUGACUUGAGAAACUCUGCCAUUGACCUCAUAAAGAAAUCAUUAAUCUUUGUGUUUUUUUCUUCAAGCAGUCCCACAAGCUGAUGAUGCAGUGUGCAACAUCAACUUGAACAAAAUGAAGUGGCACUUUUGCUGACUCUUUACUGAGUAAGACACCACAACACUCAUUGAUGUAGGUCUUCAGAUCAGGAUGAGGAGUAAAAACCUUGACCAGAGCUCUGAGCAAAGCCAGAGAAAAGUCACUCACAACCUCUUUUGGAAUUCCAUUAUGUCAACCAAUGUGUCAUUGCAUUAACAUUCAAUUCAAUUCAAUUAAAAUUUAUUUGUAUAGCGCUUUUUACAAUGGACAUUGUCUCAAAGCAGCUUUACAGAAACAUAUAAACACAUAUACAGAUUUUAAAUGUGCGAAUUUAUCCCAACUGAGCAAGCCGGUGGCGACGGUGGCAAGGAAAAACUCCCUAAGAUGUUAAGAGGAAGAAACCUUGAGAGGAACCAGACUCAGAAGGGAACCCAUCCUCAUCUGGGUAACAACAGAUAGUGUAAAAGUAAAGGAAAGUUCAUUGUGGUUUAAUAUGAAGUCUGUUUUGGCCUUAGAAGCAACCGUAGUCCCUGGAACUGGAGUAGAUGAGAGCUCCAUCCAGAGGUAGGGCAUCCGAACGGAUCAGGCAGGUCCAGGGAGCGGAAAGGAUCAGGAUCUCUAGUAUCUCCAUAAAAUUGUGUGUGGCUCGACAGAAGGAGAGAGGGAGAGAAGAGAUUGUUAGGACUGUGUAAUAGAAAGUCUACACAUGGUAGGCUUGAGUGAACAAAUAUGUUUUAAGCCUAGACUUAAACACUGAGACUGUGUUUGAGUCCCGAACACUAAUCGGAAGGCUAUUCCAUAAUUGUGGGGCUGUAUAAGAGAAAGUUCUUCCCUCUGCUGUGACCUUCGCUAUUCGAGAUACCGUCAAAUAGCCUGCAUCUUUUGAUCUAAGUAGGCGUGACGGAUCAUAGAAAACCAAAAUUUCGCUUAGAUACUGUGGCGCGAGACCAUUUAGUGCUUUAUAAGUUAAUAAUAGUAUUUUAUAAUUAAUGUGGGAUUUCACUGGAGCCAAUGCAGUGCUGAUAAGAUUGGGGUGAUGUGGUCGUACCUUCUGGUUCUAGUAUGGCCUCUAGCAGUUACAUUCUGGACUAACUGGAGUUUGUUUAUGCUCUUACUGGAACAUCCAGACAGUAUAGCAUUACAAUAAUCUAGUCUAGAGGUGACAAAAGCAUGAACUAAAAAUUCUGCAUCAUGUAGUGACAAUAUAUUUCUUAUCUUGGAAAUAUUUCUGAGAUGAAAGGAGGCUAUCCUAGUAAUAUUAUCUACAUGAGCGUCAAUGAAAGACUGGAGUCAAUAAUCACACCAAGGUCUUUUACUGAUUCACAUGACGAAAGAGAAAGUCCAUCCAGAGUUACUGUAUAAUCAGAAAGCUUACUUCUACAGUAGCUACACAUGGUCCUAGUACAAGUACUUCUGCCUUCAGAAUUAAGUAAGACGAAGUUAAUAAGCAUCCAACGUCUAAUGUCUUUUGCACAUUCCUCAACUUUAUUAAGCUGCUGUCUGUUGUCUGGCUUUGCUGAAACAUACCAUAUCAUCAGCAUAACAGUGGAAGCUAAUUCAAUGUUUAAGAAUAAUUUGACGUAGAUGUAGCAUAUAUAAAGUAAAAAGCAGUGGGCCUAAAACAAAACCUUGUGGAACACCAAAUUUAACCUCGGUAUGUGUGGAGAAGUCACCAUUUACAUCUACGUACUGAUAACGAUCGGUCAAAUAAGACCUGAGCCAGGAGAGGGCCGUUCCCUUAAUGCCAACAACAUUUUGUAGUCUGUCAAGGAGAAUAGUGUGAUCUAUAGUAUCAAAAGCUGCACUAAGGUCAAGUAAUACAAGCAACGAGACACAACCCUGAUCAGAGGCCAGUAGUAGGUCGUUUACUACUUUAACUAGCGCUGUCUCUGUGCUAUGAUGAGGUCUAAACCCCAACUAAUACACAUCAUGAAUGUUGUUCCUACGUAAGUACGAGCAUAGCUGCUGUGCUACAACCUUUUCUAAAAUCUUGGAGAAAAAGGGGAGAUUGGAUAUAGGUCUAUAGCUGGACAGUUGAGAGGGGUCAGGGUCAGGUUUUUUAAUCAGGGGUUUAAUAGCUGCUAAUUUAAAUGAUUUUGGUACAUAGCCAGUGCUAAGGGAAGAAUUGAUUAUAUUUAAAAGCGGUUCAAUUACUCUAGGACAAAUCUGUUUAAAGAAACAUUUAGGUACAGGAUCAAGUAUGCAGGUUGAUGAUUUUGCUGAAGAGUUUAAUGAAGCUAGUUCAGUCUCUACAAGGGGAGUAAAACAUUCUAAACGUUGAUCUGAUAUUGCUAUAUUGUCAUCUACAGGGUUAGUUAUAAAACUGCUUGGUUUUAAUUGAAUAGCCUGAAUUUCACAUCUAAUAUUUUUAACUUUACCAAUGAAAAAGUACAUGAAAUCUUUGCUGCUGUGUAAUGAUUGUGUGCUUCUCUCUGUAGUGGUUUUAUUCCUAGUUAAUUUUGCUACCAUGUUGAAUAGAAAUCUCGAAUUGUUUUUGUUAUCUCCAAUUAAGAUGGAGAGAUAGACUUUUCUAUUCUUAGCAUCACUAAGAGAUUUUCUAUAAUUCAGUAGGCUCUUCUUCCAUGCUGUUUGAAAUACUACCAAUUUGGUUUGACGCCAUUUACGUUCUAAUUGUCGAGUGGUCCGUUUUAAGGUACGCAUAUGAUCAUUAUACCAGGGUGCCAGCUUUUUCUCUCUAAUUAAUUUCUUUUGAGUAGAGCCACUCUAUCUAGUGUGUAGCGGAGCGUUGACUCUAAGCAUUCAGUUGCCUGAUCGAGUUCUCUGGGAUCAGACAGUGAUCAAAAUUUAAUUGAUGCCGCUGUGAGGUUGUUGAUGAAGCUUGAUGCAGUAUCUGACGUGAAAGUACGUUUUACACGGUAGCGAGGUGAGGUAGAAAUAUUAUGAUCAAUAUGUAUUAUGAACGAGAUAAGAUAAUGGUCUGAGACAACUACAGACUGUGGAAAAAUGACAGUAUUUUCUAUAUAUAAUUCGUAUGUUAGUAUCAGGUCAAGAGUGUGACCACCAUUAUGAGUAGAUCCAAUUACGUUCUGAUAAACGCCUACUGAAUCUAAGAUGGACACAACCACUGUUCUCAGAGGGUCUUCUGGGUUAUCAAAAUGAAUAUUAAAAUCACCAACGAUUAAUGCUUUAUCUAUAGAAACAAUCAGCUUUGUUGUCUCUGAAGUCCUCCAUGCAUGGGGUACCAUUCUACCCUCACACAGUUCUUUGGCUAUCUGCACAUGCAAGUUACCAGACAUCGCACGCUUGGAACAGCUAGUGUGCAGGGAGUCAUCAGUGUUUUUAAUUAAACACAUGAGCACCAUUGGGCUGUUUAUUUCAGGCUCUCUGUCAUAUUUUAUGUGAAUGUGACCAUGACAUUCCUUAUAGUUGCCUCUGAUUUCUAUGUACUUCUCUGUGGCUGAUGGAUAGACCUUGGGUCUUUUAAAGACAAAUGUGCAGGAGCUUUUCACUUCUUGCCAAAUGGGAUUAUUUAUUACAUGCAUCCAGAUGCCAGGCUUCAAAUGAUGCAUUCCCUUUUCUGUGUAUUAGAUAACUUGUUUUUGUAUUUAACUGUUUCAGGCAUAAAUUCAAUCCAUUUCUGAAAUGGAACUUCAAGAUCAAAAUUCCAGCAGUCUUUUGGUCUGGGGGAAAGGGACCCUGGCUCAAAAUCAGUGUCAUCACUACUGCCACUUGUUUCAUGAUCACUUUCAUAAAUAAACCCGAAAGCAGAUGUUGUCUGUUCAAUUAAACAUAGGUAUGUAGAGCCUUUGCAGUGAUCUUUGCAGCCUUUGCAGCUAGUUUUCUAGCUGCUCUGUCCAGAUGCCAUUAUCCUGCCUAGGCGAAGUACCACAGAACGAUGCCAGCCAUGGCCAAAGCAGUUCCCUAUUCCACAGUUUGCAUAUGAAACUGAGAUGUAUCUUGAAAGAGCCACUGAAGACUACAAGAAGAAUGGGACACUUCUGACUACCUCAAAGGUCAAGGCAGACAUACUUGAGAAGCUGUCUGAAACUAUAUACAUAUUUACAGCUUAUCCAUCAAGUGCACAAAUGAGUGAUGUUGCUGAGGCACUUGUCAAGAAAUAUCCUUUUCUCAAGGAACUCGGCUCCUUCUUAGGUUGCUAUGGCUGGCAACAAAGUAUAAAAUAAAAGAUGGCCAGUUAUUGCACCAAACUCCGAGGCUCCAGAGUUCCUGAGGUGAUAUACAAUGCACUCAAACGCAAGAGCCCUGCGGACCAGAAGUCUGCAAAUAGUAUUUAAAAAAAAAAACUAGAAAGGCAGAGGUAAACUACCUCUCCCUUACCCAGCAGGAGAGAAUUCAAUUCAAUUCAAUUUUAUUUGUAUAGCGCUUUUUAUGAUAGACAUUGUCUCAAAGCAGCUUUACAGAAUUAUCAACAUGGUAUACAGAUAUUAAAGGUGUGAAUUUAUCCCAACUGAGCAAACCACUGAGUGGCGACGGUGGCAAGGAAAAGCUCCCUAAGAUGGUAAGAGGAAGAAACCUUGAGAGGAACCAGACUCAGAAGGGAACCCAUCCUCAUCUGGGUAACAACAGUUAGUGUGAAAAAGUUCAUUAUGGAUUUAUAUGAAGUCUGUAUGGCCUUAGGAGCAGCCGUAGUCCCAGCAAUCUGGAAUUAGAGAAGAUUUGAGCUCCAUCCAGAGGCAGAAAGGAUCUGGAUCUCUAGUAUCUCCAUAAAUUUGUGUGGGGCUCAGCAAAAGGAGAGAGGGAGAAAAAAGAUUACUAUGACUGCAAAGUAGUAGAACAGAAUCUACUCAUGGUAGGCUUGAGUAAACAAAUACGUUUUAAGCCUAGACUUAAACACUGAGACUGUCUCUGAGUCCCGAACACUAAUAGGAAGACUGUUCCAUAACUGUGGGGCUCUAUAAGCGAAAGCUCUUCCCCCUGCUGUAGCCUUCUCUAUUCGAGGUACCAUCAAAUAGCCUGCAUCUUUUGAUCUAAGUAGGCGUGGCGGAUCAUAUAAAACCAAAAGGUCACUAAGGUCUUUAACUGCUGUACAUGAUGAAACAGAAAGUCCAUCCAGAGUAACCAUGUUACUCUGAAAGAUUACUUCUAGCUACACGUGGGCCUAAUAAAAGUAUUUCUGUUUUAUCAGAAUGAAAAGAGAAUGAAGAAAUUCAAGAACAAGAGAGGAUUCAGUUGCUUACUGAAGUAAGGAAGAGGGACAACAACAAAUUGUUAAAGAAAAAAUGGCCAAAACAUUUGCACACAGAAGAAACUAAAUUGUCAAACUAUCACCAAGCAUAGAGGACAUCAAAGCCAGAUGGCCUGCUCUAUUUGAGGCAUCUCAUAUCCCGGAUGAGUUUCACUGAAUCACAAUGGUGCACCUCGAAUCAAAGUUCAUGUCCAAGCUGGAUGAAUGCACUCCCAGGCUUCUGAAACUCUUCCAGUCCAAGGGUGGAACCAUGGGGUUGAGGUUGCAGGCCAUCCUACUCAAGAUAUCCUUCAGCUCCAAGCAAUCCACCUGCGUGAAGUUGGCCCCUCAAACAAUGCAAAACGUCGGCAAAAUAGUCUCAAUCGUUUGUGCUGUAAAAUUUUUUGUUUGUGCUGCUUCGGUUUUUGAGCUAUUAAAAGAAUAUUUAUGUUAUUCUGAGGCACACAGCCUCCCCAACCCCCCCACGCUCCAAAUUCACUCAAAUAGUCUCGUUUGUUUGUGCUUCAUCUGUGCUGGUUUAUGCCUCUAAAUGUUACAUUUUUGCGAAUGUCUUUUUUCUUUUUUCUUUUUUACAAUAAAGUUGAAGUAACAAGGUAAAAUACAAACAUGUAUAAUAAUGGAUAUUGGAUAUAAUAAAUAAUAAGUUGGAGACAGUGCAUCUGGAAAGUAUUCAGUGCUUCACUUUUCCCACAUUUUGUUAUGUUACAGCCUUAUUCCAAAAUGGAUUAAAUUCAUUAUUUUCCUCAAAAUUCUACAAACAAUAACCCAUAAUGACAAUGUGAAAGAAGUUUGCUUGAAAUCUGUGAAAAUUUCCAUCCAUUCAUUCAUCCAUCUUCUAUACCGCUUAUCCUUUUCAGGGUCACGGGAAACCUGGAGCCUAUCCCAGGGAGCAUGGGGCACAAGGCGGGGUACACCCUGGACAGGGUGCCAAUCCAUCUCAUGGCACACAAUCACACACACAUUCAUACACUUAUUUUUUUAUUCAUUUUCAUGUGAUUCAUGCGAUUCAUUUGCAUGUGAUUCAUUUGCAUGUGAUUCAUUUACAUGUGAUUCAUUUACUGAUUUGCUUCUCUUUAAAUCCAGAUUUAGACCGUGAUAUUACAAAGGUCUUUCCAGAUUAUUACUUGCCACACUGUAUGAGAUAACCCCAAUAAAAUUGCCUGAAUUCUAUAAUAUAAUUUGUUUGAUGUUAGGUUUAAAUCCUCUAAAAACAGAUUCUCAAUUGAAUAACAUUACUCUGUUCCAAUUCACAUCCUUCAAAGCAUUGGCAUGUUUUGUUUACUUUCACAAUUGCCACUACUGUAUUUUAGCUAAUUCUUGAGUUUUACCUCAUCCUAUGCUGUCUUGUAAUUAUUAUAUUUUAGAUGAGCAUUGUAAUAAAUUCAUUCACAGUUUUUUUUCCUUUUUAUACUAACGAAGGGAAACAAAAUUAAAAACUACAAUCACCGAACACAAGCCCAGACCACUACAGACAUGCCAAUCAACCUACCAUGCAUGUCUUUGGACUGGGGGAGGAAACCUCCGCAGCACAGGGAUAACAUGCAAACUCUGCACACACAGAGCUGCAGGAAUCGAACCCCCAACCCUGGAGGUGUGAGGUGAACGUGCUAACCACUAAGCCACUGUGCGCCCUCUUUGCAAAUUUAUUAAAAAUAAAAAACAAAAAAGCACAUGUACAUAAGUAUUCACAGCCUUUGCUCAGUACUUUGUUGAAGCACAUUUGGCACCAAUUACAGCCUCAAGUCUUUUUGAGUAUGAUGUUACAAGCUUGGCACACCUAUUUUUGGGCACUUUCUUCCAGUCUUCUUUGCAGGACCUCUCAAGCUCCAUCAGGUUGGAUGGGGAGCGUCGGUGCACAGCCAUUUUCAGAUCUCUCCAGAGAUGUUCAAUCGGGUUCAAGUCUGGGCUCUAGCUGGGCCACUCAAGGACAUUCACAGAGUUGUCCUGUAGCCACUCCUUUGUUAUCUUGGCUGUGUGCUUAGGGUCACUGUCCUGUUGGAAGAUGAACCUUCGCCCCAGUCUGAGGCCCAGAACGCUCUGGAGCAGGUUUUCCUCAAGGAUGUCUCUGUACAUUGCUGCAUUCAUCUUUCCCUCGAUCCUGACUAGUCUCCCAGUUCCUGCCGCUGAAAAACAUCCCCACUGCAUGAUGCUGCCACCACCAUGCUUCACUGUAGGGAUGGUAUUGCCCAGGUGAUGAGUGGUGCCUGGUUUCCUCCAGACACGAUGCUUGCCAUUCAGGCCAAAGAGUUCAAUCUUUGUUUCAUCAUGGUCUGAGAGGUGCCUUUUGGCAAACUCCAGGCGGGCUGUCAUGUGCCUUUUCAGUAAAAGAAAAGGUAGGAGUGGCUUCUGUCUGGCCGCUCUACCAUACAGGCCUGAUUGGUGGAGUGCUGCAGAGAUGGUUGUUCUUCUGGAAGGUUCUCCUCUCUCCACAGAGACAUGCUGGAGCUCUGUUUGAAUGACCAUAGGGUUUUUGGUCACCUCCCUGACUAAGGCCCUUCUCCCUCGAUUGCUCAGUUUGGCCGGGCGGCCAGCUCUAGGAAGAGUCCUGGUGGUUCCAAACUUCUUCCAUUUACGGAUGAUGGAGGCCACUGUGCUCAUUGGGACCUUCAAUGCUGCAGAAAUGUUUCUGUAUCCUUCCCCAGAUCUGUGCCUCAAUAUAAUCCUGUCUCGGCGGUCUACAGACAGUUCCUUGGACUUCAUGGCUUGGUUUGUGCUCUGACAUGCAUUGUUAACUGUGGAACCUUAAAUAGACAGGUGUGUGCCUUUCCAAAUCAUGUCCAAUCAACUGAAUUUACCACAGGUGGACUCCAAUCAAGUUGUAGAAACAUCUUAAGGAUGAUUAGUGGAAACAGGAUGCACCUGAGCUCAAUUUUGAGUGUCAUGGCAAAGGCUGUGAAUACUUAUGUGCUUUUUUGUUUUUUAUUUUUAAUAAAUUUGCAAAGAUUUCAGACAAACUUCUUUCACGUUGUCAUUUUGGAGUAUUGUUUGUAGAA